UACGGGGGGGGCAAGCGUUGUUCGGAAUUACUGGGCGUAAAGGGCUCGUAGGCGGCCAACUAAGUCAUACGUGAAAUCCCUCGGCUUAACCGGGGAGCUGCGUCUGAUACUGGAUGGCUUGAGAUUGGGAGAGGGAUGCGGAAUUCCAGGUGUAGCGGUGAAAUGCGUAGAUAUCUGGAGGAACACCGGUGGCGAAGGCGGCAUCCUGGGCCAACACUGACGCUGAGGAGCGAAAGCGUGGGGAGCGAACAGG
RNAcentral lists this ribosomal RNA (253 nucleotides) under uncultured bacterium. RNAcentral describes it as "partial 16S ribosomal RNA". It matches the Rfam family "Bacterial small subunit ribosomal RNA", at positions 524 to 776 of the family's 1533-position model. The record is from RNAcentral.